UGGGGAAUAUUGGACAAUGGGCGAAAGCCUGAUCCAGCAAUGCCGCGUGAGUGAAGAAGGCCUUCGGGUUGUAAAGCUCUUUCAGUUGAGAAGAAAUGAUUAUGGCUAAUAAUCAUAAUUGAUGACGGUAUCAACAGAAGAAGCACCGGCUAACUACGUGCCAGCAGCCGCGGUAAUACGUAGGGUGCGAGCGUUAAUCGGAAUUACUGGGCGUAAAGGGUGCGCAGGCGGUUAUGUAAGUCAGAUGUGAAAUCCCCGGGCUUAACCUGGGAAUUGCGUUUGAAACUACAUGACUAGAGUGUAACAGAGGGAAGUGGAAUUCCAUGUGUAGCAGUGAAAUGCGUAGAGAUAUGGAGGAACAUCGAUGGCGAAGGCAGCUUCCUGGGUUAACACUGACGCUCAUGCACGAAAGCGUGGGGAGCAAACAGGAUUAGAUACCCAAGUAGUCCCUGAGCGGGCUGGCAAGGCGCAU
This 472-nucleotide ribosomal RNA is filed under the name uncultured bacterium. RNAcentral describes it as "bacterial SSU rRNA". It matches the Rfam family "Bacterial small subunit ribosomal RNA", at positions 355 to 825 of the family's 1533-position model. The record is from RNAcentral.